CCUACGGGUGGCAGCAACUAGGAAUUAUGUGCAAUGGGCGAAAGCCUGACACUGCGACAUCGCGUGGAGGAUGAAGGUCUUAGGAUUGUAAACUCCUUUUAUCUACGAACAAGUUCUGAGUGUAGUAGAUGAAUAAGUGCCUGCCAACCACGUGCCAGAAGCAUCGGUAAUACGUGGGACACAAGCGUUAUCCGGAUUCACUGGGCGUAAAGAGAUGCGUAGGUGACUUAAUAAGUUCUGUGUUAAAGCCUAAUGCUCACCAUUAGAAGCGCGCAGAAAACUAUUUUGAUUGAGUUAAGUAGGGAGAAGGGGAAUUCCUGGUGGAGCGGUUAAAUGCGUUGAUAUCAGGAGGAACACCAAUAGCGAAGGCACCUUCUUGGACUUAUACUGACACUAAGGCUCGAAAGCGUGGGGAGCAAAACGGAUUAGAUACCCCAGUAGUC
RNAcentral lists this ribosomal RNA (443 nucleotides) under uncultured bacterium. RNAcentral describes it as "bacterial SSU rRNA". It matches the Rfam family "Bacterial small subunit ribosomal RNA", at positions 338 to 795 of the family's 1533-position model. The record is from RNAcentral.